This is a long non-coding RNA of Passer domesticus (house sparrow), 253 nucleotides long. RefSeq lists it as uncharacterized. Lineage: Eukaryota; Metazoa; Chordata; Aves; Passeriformes; Passeridae. The transcript is spliced from 3 exons. The record is from RefSeq and is a predicted model, not a curated record.
AGGCAGCAUGGCCCUUGCUCUGCACCUCCUACUCCUGCUCCUCCUGGCCGUGGCCCUGCCUGCCAGGGCUGCCCAGGCUGCUCCGCUGCAAGCGCGGCGAGCAGACUGGAAUAGUGACAUGGGUUUUCAGGAAGUCCUGAUGAAGGAUGGUUUGAAGUUCUUUGAGGAUGCUGGAGCUGAACCUGCUGGUGAAGGCCCCACAUCCAGGACUGAGCCUCUGGGAGAUGCUGAGGGUAGGUCAAGGCCUUUCCCC